UUGAUAAUUGAUCUUAUCAUCUCAUCAACUUUUCAUCCAUUGACUUCUGCUCUUUCCGUAGUUUCUAUUCCAUGUAAAGAAUGUAAAUAUGAAGAUAAUUGCUAGGCUUUCAAGAGACUGAAGCCAAUGCAAUUGGGUUUUGUAAGUUAAAUUAAUCAAAAUUUGGUUCUAUUAGCAGUCUGAACCUUGCAAUCAUAAUCAACUGAACAUAUUUCUGGGCAAAAGCACAAAAAAGUAACGUGUGGCUUGGGCCAUUUUCGAGUAGAGUCCUGUGGUUUGGGUUUUGACAAACCAGGACCCUACUUGAAAAUGCCCUAAACCAUGGGUACUUUUUUGGUACUUCCGCUAUAUUUUUUUGGGCAUGUUUCUUGAUCUAGCGUCAUACAAAUCUUAUUCAAGAAAUGGCUUAUGAUUGGAAUAUAUACUAUGAUAUUAUCGCAUAUUCCCAUUGCUUUAUGAUUUAAGAUACUGUGAAAGCAAUCUGAACCUUUGCUAUCUUAAUCAACUGAAUUUAUUUUUUGGGUAUGUUUCUUUAUCUAGUGUAAUAAAAAUCUUAUUCAAGACAACAGUUUGCUAUGAAACUAGAUUAGCAUUUAUAGAAAUUAUAUGUGAAAGAAAAAGGGAAACAAAGCAAGGGGGAUACAGUUGAAGUUAAAGCCUGGUGGACAACCUUAUCUUCCUGCCAAAGCAACAAAAUGAGUUAUUGUUUUCAUGGACAAUUUCAUUCAAACAGCAUCCAUUGCACAUCCUCGUAAUUUUAUAUAUGGAUGAGGCAUUGGAAAUAAUCUUGUGCCCUUUAAUGUGUAUCAUAUGUUUCCUUUUUUGUGCCUUGCACAUUCUGCAUCAAUUUGAUAAUACAUAUAUGAUAUUCUGUGUUGUUUGGAUUAUUUUUAGUCAUUAAUCAUUUCCCCUUUGAACUCAUGAAGGUGAGGAAGGAGAAAUCCAUCUA
This 949-nucleotide unclassified non-coding RNA is filed under the name Hevea brasiliensis (rubber tree). The record is from RNAcentral. Lineage: Eukaryota; Viridiplantae; Streptophyta; Magnoliopsida; Malpighiales; Euphorbiaceae.